GCUAGCGUAGCUUAAUACAAAGCAUAACACUGAAGAUGUUAAGAUGGGCCUUGACAAGUUCCGCGUGCA
RNAcentral lists this transfer RNA (69 nucleotides) under Aspiolucius esocinus (pike asp). RNAcentral describes it as "tRNA-Phe". It matches the Rfam family "tRNA". From Rfam's summary of the family: Transfer RNA (tRNA) molecules are approximately 80 nucleotides in length. Their secondary structure includes four short double-helical elements and three loops (D, anti-codon, and T loops). Lineage: Eukaryota; Metazoa; Chordata; Actinopteri; Cypriniformes; Leuciscidae. The record is from RNAcentral.